AGUUUGAAGCUGCGGCGGUUAAAGGUGCCACUCUUUUAUUUUGAUUAUAAACAGUAGAUGACUAGAUGAGAUUAUGUUUAGAAUGUACGCGAUUUUGCUGAUUGCACAUGAUUCAUUUGUUGAUUCCACAUCUGUCUUUCGAUUGAUUGUUUAAGAUCAAAGUUUGGUGGGCAUAAUGAGGAUACAGUGAAAUGGAAUUGGAUAAAUUUUGAUAACUGUUUUGUCUCUGAAUUUAUUUAGCUGUAAUAUUAGUCUCUCAACUUAAAAAUAUAAUUUUAUACAGCAAAAUCUUUUACCUCCAUUUACCAAUUCCUCUCACCUCCAAUUACCUUAUUAGUAUUUCUUUUCACAUGUUUAAAUUGAAUCAUUUUUCUCUCUA
This 379-nucleotide unclassified non-coding RNA is filed under the name Hevea brasiliensis (rubber tree). Lineage: Eukaryota; Viridiplantae; Streptophyta; Magnoliopsida; Malpighiales; Euphorbiaceae. The record is from RNAcentral.